AUUGAACGCUGGCGGCAUGCCUUACACAUGCAAGUCGAACGGUAACAGGGAGCUUGCUCCGCUGACGAGUGGCGAACGGGUGAGUAAUGCAUCGGAACGUACCCAGUAGUGGGGGAUAACGCAGCGAAAGCUGUGCUAAUACCGCACACGCACUGAGGUGGAAAGGAUGGGACCUUCGGGCCUUGUGAUAUUGGAGCGGCCGAUGUCAGAUUAGCUAGUUGGUGGGGUAAAAGCUCACCAAGGCGACGAGCUGUAGCUGGUCUGAGAGGAUGAUCAGCCACACUGGGACUGAGACACGGCCCAGACUCCUACGGGAGGCAGCAGUGGGGAAUUUUGGACAAUGGGGGCAACCCUGAUCCAGCCAUGCCGCGUGAGUGAAGAAGGCCUUCGGGUUGUAAAGCACUUUCGGCCGGGAAGAAAUCGCCAUCUCUAACAUAGGUGGUGGAUGACGGUACCGGAAUAAGAAGCACCGGCUAACUACGUGCCAGCAGCCGCGGUAA
This 500-nucleotide ribosomal RNA is filed under the name uncultured bacterium. Its description in RNAcentral is "partial 16S ribosomal RNA". It matches the Rfam family "Bacterial small subunit ribosomal RNA", at positions 30 to 523 of the family's 1533-position model. The record is from RNAcentral.